AGCGAACGCUGGCGGCGUGCCUAACACAUGCAAGUCGAACGCGAAAGGGGGGGCAACUCCCCGAGUAGAGUGGCGCACGGGUGAGUAACGCGUGGGUAAUCUGCCCUUGAGUGGGGGAUAACCUUCCGAAAGGAGGGCUAAUACCGCAUAACACCCCGUUCUCUUCGGAGGAUGGGUUCAAAGGUGACCGCUGCAUGCAAGUUGCCGCUUAAGGAGGAGCCCGCGUCCCAUUAGCUAGUUGGUAGGGUAACGGCCUACCAAGGCGACGAUGGGUAGCCGGCCUGAGAGGGUGAUCGGCCACACUGGAACUGAGACACGGUCCAGACUCCUACGGGAGGCAGCAGUGAGGAAUAUUGCGCAAUGGGCGAAAGCCUGACGCAGCGACGCCGCGUGGAGGAUGAAGGCCUUCGGGUCGUAAACUCCUGUCGAGGGGGACGAAAUGGUGCUCCGUUAAUACCGGAGUGCCUUGACGGUACCCCUGGAGGAAGCCCCGGCUAACUCCGUGC
This 506-nucleotide ribosomal RNA is filed under the name uncultured bacterium. RNAcentral describes it as "bacterial SSU rRNA". It matches the Rfam family "Bacterial small subunit ribosomal RNA", at positions 28 to 508 of the family's 1533-position model. The record is from RNAcentral.